CGAACGAAGCACUUUAUUGGAUUUUCUUCGGAGAUGAAGAUGUUGUGACUGAGUGGCGGACGGGUGAGUAACGCGUGGGCAACCUGCCCUGUACCGGGGGAUAACAGCCGGAAACGGCUGCUAAUACCGCAUAAGCGCACGAGAGCGCAUGCUUUUGUGUGAAAAACUCCGGUGGUACGGGAUGGGCCCGCGUCUGAUUAGCUUGUUGGCGGGGUAGAGGCCCACCAAGGCGACGAUCAGUAGCCGACCUGAGAGGGUGACCGGCCACAUUGGGACUGAGACACGGCCCAAACUCCUACGGGAGGCAGCAGUGGGGAAUAUUGCACAAUGGGGGAAACCCUGAUGCAGCGACGCCGCGUGAGUGAGGAAGUAUUUCGGUAUGUAAAGCUCUAUCAGCAGGGAAGAAAAAAUGACGGUACCUGACUAAGAAGCACCGGCUAAAUACGUGCCAGCAGCCGCGGUAAUACGUAUGGUGCAAGCGUUAUCCGGAUUUACUGGGUGUAAAGGGAGCGCAGGCGGUACGGCAAGUCUGAUGUGAAAGCCCGGGGCUCAACCCCGGUACUGCAUUGGAAACUACCGGACUGGAGUGUCGGAGGGGUAAGUGGAAUUCCUAGUGUAGCGGUGAAAUGCGUAGAUAUUAGGGGGAACACCAGUGGCGAAGGCGGCUUACUGGACGAUCACUGACGCUGAGGCUCGAAAGC
This 701-nucleotide ribosomal RNA is filed under the name uncultured bacterium. RNAcentral's name for it is "bacterial SSU rRNA". It matches the Rfam family "Bacterial small subunit ribosomal RNA", at positions 63 to 760 of the family's 1533-position model. The record is from RNAcentral.